Molecule: long non-coding RNA, 514 nt
Organism: Notothenia coriiceps (black rockcod)
Lineage: Eukaryota; Metazoa; Chordata; Actinopteri; Perciformes; Nototheniidae
Exons: 3
Source: RefSeq, a predicted model, not a curated record
AAUCUUGUCUCGUUGUUUCUGCAGGGAAGCGGCGCAGGAAAACGACGGAAAGUCUCAGCUUUACAACGAGAUCCGGCGGAAGAAGAAGGAAAGGAAAGUGAAGAAGAGAGCAAAGAAAGGAGACGACUGCAGCCUCCCAGGACUCACCUGCUUCACUCACAACAACGACCACUGGGCCACCGCCCCCCUGUGGACAUUGGGGGGCUUCUGCGCCUGCACCAGCUCCAACAACAACACCUACUGGUGUCUGAGGACCAUCAACGAGACGCACAACACGCUCUUCUGCGAGUUCUCCACUGGAUUCCUGGAGUACUUUGACCUCAACAACGACCCCUACCAGCUGACCAACACGGUGUACUCGGUGGAUCGAGACGUCCUGAACUCUCUUCACGCUCACCUGAUGGAGAUGAGGAGCUGUCAGGGACACAAGCAGUGCAACCCCCGCCCAAAAGGACCCGACGCAGGUAAACACUCACCUGCAGAAACUAUACACACCUGUCCGAUAUCUGAAGUG